Molecule: non-coding RNA, 300 nt
Organism: Nelumbo nucifera (sacred lotus)
Lineage: Eukaryota; Viridiplantae; Streptophyta; Magnoliopsida; Proteales; Nelumbonaceae
Source: RefSeq, a predicted model, not a curated record
CAAAGAGAAAGUCUUUCACUGCCAGAGGAGAACACCAGGAUACUUCAGUCCAGCGACGAUCGGAGAGAGGAUUCUUCGCCGGAGGGAGGAGCAGCUGCCGCCGCGAGUGUUGCCGCAGCUGGAUUUUUUAGAGAGAGAGGGAGAGAGUGUUUCUCGUAUCUUUGAUUUAUAUCUCUGGUUUGCCGCCGAUAUGUUCUCUGAGAUCUAUUCUCGUCAGUUAUUGUUUUCUAUUUUUUGUCUGUUAUUUUGAGGUAGCAUUUAGCUAAAGAUUUGAGAAAUUAAAUGUAUGUAUUUGUGACA